ACCUGGCUGGCUCAGUCAGUAGAGCAUGUGACUCUUGAUCUCGGGGUCAUGAGUUCAAGCCCCAUGCUGGGUG
Molecule: transfer RNA, 73 nt
Filed under: Ailuropoda melanoleuca (giant panda)
Lineage: Eukaryota; Metazoa; Chordata; Mammalia; Carnivora; Ursidae
Rfam family: tRNA
About the family: Transfer RNA (tRNA) molecules are approximately 80 nucleotides in length. Their secondary structure includes four short double-helical elements and three loops (D, anti-codon, and T loops). Further hydrogen bonds mediate the characteristic L-shaped molecular structure. tRNAs have two regions of fundamental functional importance: the anti-codon, which is responsible for specific mRNA codon recognition, and the 3' end, to which the tRNAs corresponding amino acid is attached (by aminoacyl-tRNA synthetases). tRNAs cope with the degeneracy of the genetic code in two manners: having more than one tRNA (with a specific anti-codon) for a particular amino acid; and 'wobble' base-pairing, i.e. permitting non-standard base-pairing at the 3rd anti-codon position.
Source: Rfam by way of RNAcentral